Molecule: long non-coding RNA, 917 nt
Organism: Acinonyx jubatus (cheetah)
Lineage: Eukaryota; Metazoa; Chordata; Mammalia; Carnivora; Felidae
Exons: 4
Source: RefSeq, a predicted model, not a curated record
AUUAUGAGGCACCUAUAGCUAUUUUCAUUUAAAUGAUUAAAAUUAAAUAGAAUAAAAAAUUCAGUUUCUCACCCUAGCCACAUUCUAAGUACUUAGUUGUCACAUACAAACUGUGGGGGCAGCGCAGAUACAGACCAUUUCUGUCCCUGUGGAACGUUCUAUUGGGCAGCAAGAACCAGAUUGAAAUAGCUCUACCCCACCAUCACCCCAAAACUUCAUCACUAGGAAAUGUUAAAGGAUGAGAACAGAGUGUGGGAAACACCCAGGCCAUUGUGGUGCUGAGAUGAUAGUGGCAUUUUGGGCUGGACUACUUUUCAUUUCAUGGGAUCAUUUUGAGGAAAUGUACAUUCAUAAAGGAACUUUCCAUUUGUAAAAACGUCUCCAUUUUUGGAAGAGAUCUACACCCUGGAGGCAACUCUUAUCACCUGGGAGACUCUCGCCUGCAUAGCAAGACGGUCCUAUUUACCAAACCUUUCCUCUCUUUAACUUCCCAUGACUUGCCUCCCCCUCUCAGAAGCCCCAAACCCCUUUUCCUUUGUUUAGCCUAAGAUGGUAAAAAGCAUCUUGAGCCACAUCUUUCUUUGCGAACUCCUGUGUGUACUGUUAAAAAAUAAAAUUUAAAAUUUUAAAGAUCUUACUGACUUUAUUCAAUGAUUCAUGAGACAGGCAGCAUCACAUUUAGCAAAUAGAAUGAAGCUUUAAAGAGUAUGGGCAAGAGGAGGCAGCAAAGUGCUGAUUGUUUCAGGCGAGGCCACCUUUCUUUGGGGGAUUACCUCAUAGUAUGGACCAGGUAAUUCCACAGUGACUGGUUAAGAUUACAUUCCUGGGAGAGGCUGAAAUUGCAAUUAGGUUAGGUAUUAAGUCUUGCUUUAUUGAAAUGGGGUUAACACAAGUGACUCCAUUUUGGAUGUGUUGUU